This is a non-coding RNA of Drosophila melanogaster (fruit fly), 23 nucleotides long. The record is from Ensembl. NCBI's taxonomy places the organism in Eukaryota, Metazoa, Arthropoda, Insecta, Diptera, Drosophilidae.
UUUCAUGUCGAUUUCAUUUCAUG